Molecule: long non-coding RNA, 460 nt
Filed under: Solanum tuberosum (potato)
Lineage: Eukaryota; Viridiplantae; Streptophyta; Magnoliopsida; Solanales; Solanaceae
Description: long non-coding RNA (STUB_LNC004704)
Source: RNAcentral
UUUUUUCGAGUGUGAAUACUCCACCAACAUAUGGGGUUCAAUACUCUUAACAUGGAUAAAAGGGCCUACACAGAUAGGAAAUUGGGAGGAUGAACUACAAUGGGUGACGAACUAGAGGCCAUAAAAGUAGACCGCUCGCAGAAAUAUUGGGUUGGUUGUACGCAACAAGUGUCUACCAUAUAUGGAAUGAAAGGAAUUCAAGACGAUUCUCACAACAGCACACACUUGCUGCCAAUCGAUUAAAGAAAAUUUGUCUCCCCAACUGCACACCAAAGGACAUUUGAAUCUGAAGUGGAAGCCAAUUCUUGAUCAUUUGAAUGCUUACCCUGUCUAGAUAAAAAAAAUUCUGUAAAUAUAAUAUAUAGAUAGUUAGUUGAUCUUUCGAGGACUAGUUCUAGAGUCCAAACAAACUAGCAGUGUACGUAUGCUAUUUGGUUGAAUGAAUUAUUAUUUUUUACAA